ACUCCUACGGGAGGCAGCAGUGGGGAAUAUUGCACAAUGGGCGCAAGCCUGAUGCAGCAACGCCGUGUGAGUGAAGAAGGUUUUCGGAUCGUAAAACUCUGUCCUAAGGGAAGAAACAAAUGACGGUACCUUAGGAGGAAGCCCCGGCUAACUACGUGCCAGCAGCCGCGGUAAUACGUAGGGGGCAAGCGUUAUCCGGAAUCACUGGGCGUAAAGGGUGCGUAGGCGGCUUAGCAAGCCAGGGGUGAAAGGCAUUGGCUCAACCAAUGUAAGCCUUUGGAACUGUUAAGCUUGAGUGCAGGAGAGGUAAGUGGAAUUCCUAGUGUAGAGGUGAAAUUCGUAGAUAUUAGGAGGAACACCAGUGGCGAAGGCGACUUACUGGACUGUAACUGACGCUGAGGCACGAAAGCGUGGGUAGCGAACAGGAUUAGAUACCCUGGUAACACAG
RNAcentral lists this ribosomal RNA (448 nucleotides) under uncultured bacterium. RNAcentral describes it as "bacterial SSU rRNA". It matches the Rfam family "Bacterial small subunit ribosomal RNA", at positions 335 to 798 of the family's 1533-position model. The record is from RNAcentral.